Molecule: ribosomal RNA, 258 nt
Filed under: uncultured bacterium
Lineage: Bacteria
Description: partial 16S ribosomal RNA
Rfam family: Bacterial small subunit ribosomal RNA
Source: RNAcentral
CGGCGGACGGGUGAGUAACGCGUGGGCAACCUGCCUCAUACAGGGGGAUAACAGUUAGAAAUGACUGCUAAUACCGCAUAAGACCGCGGUACCGCAUGGUACAGCGGUAAAAACUCCGGUGGUAUGAGAUGGGCCCGCGUCUGAUUAGCUAGUUGGCGGGGUAACGGCCCACCAAGGCGACGAUCAGUAGCCGACCUGAGAGGGUGACCGGCCACAUUGGGACUGAGACACGGCCCAAACUCCUACGGAAGGCAGCAG